GACGAACGCUGGCGGCGUGCCUAAUACAUGCAAGUCGAACGCUUCUUUCCUCCCGAGUGCUUGCACUCAAUUGGAAAGAGGAGUGGCGGACGGGUGAGUAACACGUGGGUAACCUACCCAUCAGAGGGGGAUAACACUUGGAAACAGGUGCUAAUACCGCAUAACAGUUUAUGCCGCAUGGCAUAAGAGUGAAAGGCGCUUUCGGGUGUCGCUGAUGGAUGGACCCGCGGUGCAUUAGCUAGUUGGUGAGGUAACGGCUCACCAAGGCCACGAUGCAUAGCCGACCUGAGAGGGUGAUCGGCCAAACUGGGACUGAGACACGGCCCAGACUCCUACGGGAGGCAGCAGUAGGGAAUCUUCGGCAAUGGACGAAAGUCUGACCGAGCAACGCCGCGUGAGUGAAGAAGGUUUUCGGAUCGUAAAACUCUGUUGUUAGAGAAGAACAAGGACGUUAGUAACUGAACGUCCCCUGACGGUAUCUAACCAGAAAGCCACGGCUAACUACGUG
This 508-nucleotide ribosomal RNA is filed under the name uncultured bacterium. RNAcentral's name for it is "partial 16S ribosomal RNA". It matches the Rfam family "Bacterial small subunit ribosomal RNA", at positions 28 to 507 of the family's 1533-position model. The record is from RNAcentral.